GAUGAACGCUGGCGGCGUGCCUAAUACAUGCAAGUAGAACGCUGAAGGAAGGAGCUUGCUCUUUCCGGAUGAGUUGCGAACGGGUGAGUACCGCGUAGGUAACCUGCCUGGUAGCGGGGGAUAACUAUUGGAAACGAUAGCUAAUACCGCAUAACAGUAGAUGUUGCAUGAUAUCUACUUAAAAGGUGCAAUUGCACCACUACCAGAUGGACCUGCGUUGUAUUAGCUAGUUGGUGAGGUAACGGCUCACCAAGGCGACGAUACAUAGCCGACCUGAGAGGGUGAUCGGCCACACUGGGACUGAGACACGGCCCAGACUCCUACGGGAGGCAGCAGUAGGGAAUCUUCGGCAAUGGACGGAAGUCUGACCGAGCAACGCCGCGUGAGUGAAGAAGGUUUUCGGAUCGUAAAGCUCUGUUGUAAGAGAAGAACGAGUGUGAGAGUGGAAAGUUCACACUGUGACGGUAUCUUACCAGAAAGGGACGGCUAACUACGUG
This 497-nucleotide ribosomal RNA is filed under the name uncultured bacterium. RNAcentral describes it as "partial 16S ribosomal RNA". It matches the Rfam family "Bacterial small subunit ribosomal RNA", at positions 28 to 507 of the family's 1533-position model. The record is from RNAcentral.